This 492-nucleotide ribosomal RNA is filed under the name uncultured bacterium. RNAcentral's name for it is "partial 16S ribosomal RNA". It matches the Rfam family "Bacterial small subunit ribosomal RNA", at positions 29 to 507 of the family's 1533-position model. The record is from RNAcentral.
AGUGAACGCUGGCGGUAGGCCUAACACAUGCAAGUCGAACGGCAGCACAGUAAGAGCUUGCUCUUACGGGUGGCGAGUGGCGGACGGGUGAGGAAUAUAUCGGAAUCUACUUUUUCGUGGGGGAUAACGUAGGGAAACUUACGCUAAUACCGCAUACGACCUACGGGUGAAAGCAGGGGAUCUUCGGACCUUGCGCGAUUGAAUGAGCCGAUGUCGGAUUAGCUAGUUGGCGGGGUAAAGGCCCACCAAGGCGACGAUCCGUAGCUGGUCUGAGAGGAUGAUCAGCCACAUUGGAACUGAGACACGGUCCAGACUCCUACGGGAGGCAGCAGUGGGGAAUAUUGGACAAUGGGCGCAAGCCUGAUCCAGCCAUACCGCGUGUGUGAAGAAGGCCUUCGGGUUGUAAAGCCCUUUUGUUGGGAAAGAAAAGCAGCAGGUUAAUACCCCGCUGUUCUGACGGUACCCAAAGAAUAAGCACCGGCUAACUUCGUG